RNAcentral lists this transfer RNA (67 nucleotides) under Scutigerella causeyae. Its description in RNAcentral is "tRNA-Pro". The record is from RNAcentral. Lineage: Eukaryota; Metazoa; Arthropoda; Symphyla; Scutigerellidae.
UUUCAAAAAUAUUUUAAGAAGAAAUAUUAGUUUUGGAGAUUGGGGGAAGGGGAACUUAAUUUGAAAA